UUGUCUUCUCGCUGUCUACGUUUUGUCUUCCCAGUUGUUUUGGACUAAAAUGUGUACCACGCUGCCGUUACCAGAAAUCUCCAGAUCUAUCGCAGGAACGCCGCCUGCUGUCCUGUGCUCUCUUUAUAUAACAUUUAUAAAUAUUAACAACUUAUAUAAUAAUAUAACUCUUUCAUACUAUAUGUUCAAAUAAAAGAAAACAAUCCUGUUUUAUUCCUGAUUGAAAAAUAAAGUGCUCAAAACAAGAAAAUCGUUAAAAAUGCUUUUUUCCCCUUCUGAAAGUC
Biomphalaria pfeifferi is the source of this 284-nucleotide non-coding RNA. Lineage: Eukaryota; Metazoa; Mollusca; Gastropoda; Planorbidae. The record is from the annotation of a GenBank genome assembly.